RNAcentral lists this ribosomal RNA (253 nucleotides) under uncultured bacterium. RNAcentral describes it as "partial 16S ribosomal RNA". It matches the Rfam family "Bacterial small subunit ribosomal RNA", at positions 524 to 776 of the family's 1533-position model. The record is from RNAcentral.
UACGUAGGGUCCGAGCGUUGUCCGGAAUUACUGGGCGUAAAGCGCGUGUAGGCGGCUGAGCAAGUCGGAUGUGAAAGCCCUGGGCUUAACCUAGGAAGUGCAUUCGAAACUGCUUGGCUUGAGUUCUGGAGAGGAAGGCGGAAUUCUCGGUGUAGAGGUGAAAUUCGUAGAUAUCGAGAGGAACACCGGUGGCGAAGGCGGCCUUCUGGACAGUGACUGACGCUGAGACGCGAAAGCGUGGGGAGCAAACAGG